GAUGAACGCUGGCGGCGUGCCUAAUACAUGCAAGUCGAGCGAACAGAUGAGGAGCUUGCUCCUCUGACGUUAGCGGCGGACGGGUGAGUAACACGUGGAUAACCUACCUAUAAGACUGGGAUAACUUCGGGAAACCGGAGCUAAUACCGGAUAAUAUAUUGAACCACAUGGUUCAAUAGUGAAAGACGGUUUUGCUGUCACUUAUAGAUGGAUCCGCGCCGCAUUAGCUAGUUGGUAAGGUAACGGCUUACCAAGGCAACGAUGCGUAGCCGACCUGAGAGGGUGAUCGGCCACACUGGAACUGAGACACGGUCCAGACUCCUACGGGAGGCAGCAGUAGGGAAUCUUCCGCAAUGGGCGAAAGCUUGACGGAGCAACGCCGCGUGAGUGAUGAAGGUCUUCGGAUCGUAAAACUCUGUUAUUAGGGAAGAACAAAUGUGUAAGUAACUAUGCACGUCUUGACGGUACCUAAUCAGAAAGCCACGGCUAACUACGUG
RNAcentral lists this ribosomal RNA (497 nucleotides) under uncultured bacterium. RNAcentral describes it as "partial 16S ribosomal RNA". It matches the Rfam family "Bacterial small subunit ribosomal RNA", at positions 28 to 507 of the family's 1533-position model. The record is from RNAcentral.